This 4587-nucleotide long non-coding RNA is filed under the name Gallus gallus (chicken). Lineage: Eukaryota; Metazoa; Chordata; Aves; Galliformes; Phasianidae. The record is from RNAcentral.
UGCACGACGGCGGCGGGGGGCCGGGGGGGGACCCCGCUCCCUUCCCCAUCACGGCACCUACCUUCAUCUCCUCGUUGAUCUCCCGCUUCACCGGGAUUCUGUUACCGAUGAGUCCGCGUGCGCAACCUCUCAUCAAACGCAAGAGGUGCUCCCAGGAUCUCAGCAUCUCUCUCCCAUGGCAGGGACGGGAUAGGCAGCACGAGGGGAAGUUGCUUAUAAGCACCGUCGUGUAGCGUCAGAGCUGCAGGUUUGAAAGCUCUGAGAGCCAACCUCACAGAACCUUCCUGCUCUGAGGCACCAGCACCUUGCUCAUUCACGAAAUCACUCUGAGGAAGAAGGCAAAAUGAAUUUUUGCAUUAGGGACACAUCACUGGUUUCUCCGUAGUGCUGAUAACACAACUUUAGUGAAAAUCUCGGACCUUUUGCUACACAGAAUAACCAUGUUGCCCUGAAUGGUUAUUGUUUAGUGAAACAUCUGAAAACACAUAAUAGACUACUUGUUUGCAACGCUUGCUAUAGAUUUUGUAAUGAAGUGCCGUUGCGCUGCAUCAAUUUGACAGUUCGAGUUGAUAAUUUGACAGAAAGAUUAAUCCUAAACUCCCAGCAUAAACAGAAUUCCCUUUAAUGUCAGAAGGGACUUUGUAACUGCCAGCCCAAACGCUGCGGAUGGGCUUCAGCAGGUUACAGAGAGCGUCUUCAGGAUCAAAUUUGACAUUCCUCUUCCUGACUAACAGUUGGUAGUUGAAAAUAGAACACCUCUCCCAGUUCUGAAUUCUGACCCUCACUUCUUGCUCACCCAAACCGAGGACUUCCAGACUUCUUUUCCCAAACGCUCACCGCGAAGGCUUUUGAAUGCAGAUGUUCACUCGUGUCUCCUGACAGUAGGCUCAGUUUUCUCAGCUACUUUUAGUAAGCUCCUAAAAACAGCCCACGGUCCCUCAGAACCUCAUCAACAACUGGCUAAAAGCCACGGUCUCACUAAGUUGUUCUUCCAGUGGCAACAUAUGGAGGACCAUCAACCGUCAAGACGGAAGUUCAUGCAACUGUCAAGACUGAAUUUCAUGCAUUCAGAAUGCUUAGGCACCAUCUGACACUCGUAGAGACCCUAACGUUAAAUACAUCUACUGAACUGUGACAGCACACAUUUCUUGUGUGAAAGCCUAUAUUUCUGAUAAGGAAACCUGGUUCAGCAGCGCUCAAUAUGGAUUCUGGAUAACAUCUUAAAGAGGCCAACCAGCCAUUCCGUGCAUACAGAAACACGCCUGUGAACUUCUCCCUGCAGUCAGCUCCUUCAGCUCCCCACUUCCACGCCAGUGAUGUUAUUUCACCCACACCUUGCAGAAGGGGCGCAUUCCACUCAUUCCUGAGCUGGGACGAGCGCCCGCAGCAUUACUCACCCACAGCAGUGUCUGUAGAUCCCUGUCUGCUGUGGAUACUAAUCUCAAUCCAGAGCUUCCUCAGACGAUUAGAGGCUGUUCUGCAAAAUGUCAAUACACAGCCUCUCCGAAGCCAACACGGUGUGGUGGUUGAAAUGGGAGCCGUGGAGGCUUUCCAAAUAUGAAGGUCUGGAAAUGUUUGGAGGUAUUUUAAUAUUGAUGAAUACUUCAGAUUUUUUUUUUUUCUGUUGCUUCAGUGUAUCAGUGUCAAAUCUGUGCGGAUUAAUGGCAAGACAGAGCCCUAGUACCAUUCGUGUCUAUCAAAGUUCUGGCAAAUGCUAACAACUUACUGCUAUUAAUGAUCACUCUUUGCCCAGAAGUUCACAUAAUUCAUCAAAAAGCCAACGUUGAUAAGCAGAAAGAAAUUAAAUACUUCUGAGUCUUCUGUUAAAAUGCCUUUCUUUUUACUUUGUUUAACAUCUAAUGUCUCCUACAGCAAAAGUAAGCAAGGGGAAGUCUUUUCCUUCUUCAGCACAAAAGAGCACCCACACCACUCAAAAACAGUUGAGAUUAAACCUUUGAAAAGGUAUCAGCAGUGUGUGUAAAGCCAAAUUGGUAAAGUGUGCCCUAGACACCACUUUUGACUCUGGGGAAAAUGCUUUAUCAUCUGUCUACUGCUACGCUCUGCCUAUUCAUCACCAUUACUCAGUAACUCUGCGGUGGCAGCUUUGUACUUAACAUGAAGCCAAAGAUCAGGGAGAGGCACACAUCAAACAAGACUUGAACUUGGAGAUGGCAAACCAUACGUUCUAGACCUCAUUCCUUUAAAGGACCGUACCUCGGAAUGAAACCUGUGAGCCUUUUCUAUAGUUUCAUUUGUUCAAUACAGUGCUCCACUUGUUCUGUAAAAGAAGUUGGCAAAAGCCCUGCUUUCCUGAGAUCUUGUCAUUCAUUGUGACUGAAACCUAAAAGGCUGUCCUAUGGUACUAAGGCAGGUCUGGGGUACCUGAGAGAUCUACCUGCUCCCUAUGCCUCCAUUCCACAUUCUUCACACACCUUGAAACCAAGGAACUGUCAAACACAGAAGCAAAGAUGGCGAGGGGUGUACACCCCCAUUCUUUGCAGCUUUCCAUGGCUGUAAAGUUCCCUGUGAAGUGACCCGAGAAUAUGUACAAUGACAGAAAACUCAUUUCUUCACUCGCCAUUUCUCAACAACAGCCAGUUCCAGCCCUUGUCAUUCUUCUACUUCUCCACACAGACGAAGGCAGGAGAGAAUUCUCUUGGUUUAACUUUAAUAAAUGGGUAAGUCUCACAGGCAUUACAAUGGUAGGAGGAGGUGCAGAAAAGUUGUGUGUGGUUGGGAUACGAUGGAAAUUUCUCUGUUAUUUUAAAAUUAUUUCUUCCUUUAUAAUAGAUCAUUUGUGCUUAUACACUCCUGAAAAUGCUUUUAUAGCAAUCUACAUCAAGUUCUUCCUAAAAAGCAUCCCUCCUCUUUUUGUCUUUUUGUGAAGAAUAGAUUUUUUUUUUACAAUAAAGAUAGUGGUUUAUACAUUUGCUCAUAAUUCUGUAUUUCCCCUGUGAGCUUUAUUACAUGAUAUAGUAUGUCAGUUUAAGUAACGUCUGUCAAGGGAUGGAAAACAAUUACAGGUUCUUUUCAUUCAUGAAAGUCAUUCUGGAGUUUCUUCAUCCUUAAUUUUCUUGUCAUGCUUUCAAAAACAUUACAUCAUUUUGUCCAAAUUCCCCCCUGCAUUGCUUAUACAAGAUACAGUAGGUUAUUAAUUUCUUUCCUAGACCCAAAGAAACACAUCGAAGUAUCUACAGUCGCACGUACUACAUGUUUUAGACCUGGUUAAAGUUGGGCUUUGACAUGUCGUUAUUUGACAAUUACUCUUCUAUUGCAGUGCUUGCUUUCCUGCCAGCAUCUCGCCAGAAUCCUGCAUGACAGGUGAUUCAAUCUCUUGAUCUCAGUUAGAUUUACACGAAUUUUACGCACCCUAAUAUAUAAUGGCAAUGCAUUCACACUGCUGUGGCUAAAAGUCUGUCGAAAUCCCAAACACAUCGUGAGAAUACAUAACAAAUAUAUUCAGGACUAGAACAUGUCAUAUAUUAUCAGCACAGGAAAACAUUCUUUGUUCUUAGAAUCAAAGAACAGCGGAGACUGAAAGGCUCUUGUGAAGAGGAACCUAACUUCCCUCCUCAAUGGUGAGUGUGUUGCUUAUGGCUGUGUUCAGUAAUGUUUCAAAUAUCUCCAAGGCAACCACAGCUUCUCAGGACAACCUGCUCCAGAGUUUGUUCACCCUUACAGUAAAAAGGGUUUAUCUUACAUUUAAAUGGAAUUUGCUGCAUUUCAAUUUGUGCCUGUUGCUGCUUGACUUUUCACUGAGAGGAGUGUGGCUCCACCUUCUCUUCCCCCUCCCAUCAGAUGUUUCUACACACCGAUGAAAUGCCCCCUGAGCCUCCUCCAGGUUGAGCAGACUUGGAUCUCUAAGCCUCUUCUCUUACAUCAGGUGCUCCAGUCUGUCAGUUAUUUCCGUAGUGCUGUGCUGCACUUGUUGCAGUGCAUCCCUGUCUAUUUUGUUCUGGGGAGCCCAGAACUGGACCCAGCACCCCAGAUAUGUCUCACCAGAGCUGAGAAGAGUGGAAGGAUCACCUCAUGUGACCUGUUGGCAAUGCUUUUCCUAAUGCAGCCCAAGCCUUUGCUGCAAGGGCGCCUUGUUGGCUAAUGUUCAGCUGGUUGGAUGCCAGCACCCCAGGGCCUGCUCUGCAAAGCUGCUUUCUAGUUGGUCUCCCACCUGUACUGCCGUAAGAUUAUUCCCUUCCAGGGGCAUGACUCUGUGCUGCUUUGUUGAACUCCGGGAGAUUCUUGUCGGCCCUUUUCUCCUGCAAUUUAUUCAAUUUGCUUUGAUUUAUAAACUUUUAAGCAAUUAGUAUGACUAUUAUCUGGAAAGAUUUUGAUUUCCUGAACUGUGCAGCUUUUUCUAAUUAAACCGUGCAGGUAACAUUAAUGAUAAUAAUCUAUGUCUCUUACUGCCAUAACCAAAAAUGAAUUUUCCUUAAAGACAGUCCCAAGAAUCCUUCUCAGCACAGGUAAGAAUUUUUUUUUCCAUUAGAACUGGACAAAUAUAUGUGUCUAUCUCAAUUCAAGAUUCUUGAAGCUGCAUUUGGUUAUGUAUUUCUUUUCACAAAGCUAUGCUUAAAGCAGAAUUGAUGC